This 914-nucleotide ribosomal RNA is filed under the name Nothophoma quercina. RNAcentral's name for it is "partial large subunit ribosomal RNA". It matches the Rfam family "Eukaryotic large subunit ribosomal RNA", at positions 34 to 967 of the family's 3401-position model. The record is from RNAcentral. Lineage: Eukaryota; Fungi; Ascomycota; Dothideomycetes; Pleosporales; Didymellaceae.
CUAGCAUAUCAAUAAGCGGAGGGAAAGAAACCAACAGGGAUUGCCCUAGUAACGGCGAGUGAAGCGGCAACAGCUCAAAUUUGAAAUCUGGCGUCUUUGGCGUCCGAGUUGUAAUUUGCAGAGGGCGCUUUGGCAUUGGCAGCGGUCCAAGUUCCUUGGAACAGGACGUCACAGAGGGUGAGAAUCCCGUACGUGGUCGCUAGCCUUUACCGUGUAAAGCCCCUUCGACGAGUCGAGUUGUUUGGGAAUGCAGCUCUAAAUGGGAGGUAAAUUUCUUCUAAAGCUAAAUACUGGCCAGAGACCGAUAGCGCACAAGUAGAGUGAUCGAAAGAUGAAAAGCACUUUGGAAAGAGAGUUAAAAAGCACGUGAAAUUGUUGAAAGGGAAGCGCUUGCAGCCAGACUUGCCUGUAGUUGCUCAUCCGGGUUUCUACCCGGUGCACUCUUCUAUAGGCAGGCCAGCAUCAGUUUGGGCGGUUGGAUAAAGGUCUCUGUCAUGUACCUCCUUUCGGGGAGAACUUAUAGGGGAGACGACAUGCAACCAGCCUGGACUGAGGUCCGCGCAUCUGCUAGGAUGCUGGCGUAAUGGCUGUAAGCGGCCCGUCUUGAAACACGGACCAAGGAGUCUAACAUCUAUGCGAGUGUUUGGGUGUCAAGCCCGAGCGCGUAAUGAAAGUGAACGGAGGUGGGAACCUUUCGGGGUGCACCAUCGACCGAUCCUGAUGUCUUCGGAUGGAUUUGAGUAAGAGCAUAGCUGUUGGGACCCGAAAGAUGGUGAACUAUGCUUGAAUAGGGUGAAGCCAGAGGAAACUCUGGUGGAGGCUCGCAGCGGUUCUGACGUGCAAAUCGAUCGUCAAAUUUGGGCAUAGGGGCGAAAGACUAAUCGAACUAUCUAGUAGCUGGUUCCUGCCGAUCU